GCCCAACACAGGGCUCGAACUCAUGAACAGUGAGAUCAUGACCUGAGCCAGAGUUGGACACUUAACCGACUGAGCCACCCAGGCACCCCUAAAGAGAUCUUAGAGUAUGGCCUAGAUAGGGUUCCUUGGAGGCAGAUCCGAUGCCAAGAAUUACAGUGUAGAAGUUGGGUGUACUUCCGUAGGGACACCUAUGAUGAUUGGUCAGAAGAAGAAACUAAUCUUUAAUAUAGUUGUAACUGAGCCCUUAGACAAUCUGAUGGAAUUCUGGAGCUGGAAUGAGCUUUCAGAAUGACUUCCAACUGAAGCCAGGAGGCCUGGCCUUUAUAACGCUGCAUUAGCCAGUCCUGGCUGUGAGCCACCCCUGGGAGGGGCCUCAAUCUUGGGCCAGGCAGUUCUCUGCCAAGGGCACUGACCUAGUAAGGGACACAGCUGAGAGCCUUCAGCAGCUGGGAGCUGGGUGCCUCAGCCCUGAAGAGGGGACCUGGAGAGAACAGAAGGUAUUCAAGAUUUGUAAGGAUUAGAAGAAUUCAUCUGCCGAAAGUAAAACCAAAACACCCUGAGACUCAAUGUUAAAAGAAUCAGAUCCUAAAAGAAGGUGUGUUGCUGAUGAGACUGGAGAACUUACCAUCUCUACUAAAUACUCCCAAGUCCAGUGAAGAAGAUCAUGGUAUGUGCCAGAGCUUUCUAACAUGUUCGCUAGCAACAAUGACCCACCGUUGUAUUGGGGGCUUUUACUUUCUUGGAACCUUAGGGUGGCAGAACAGGACUUAGGAUGACAAGUCCCUCUAUCAGUUCACCCAGUAUGCCACACAAACAUUGUUGUGUAUGGUUGCAUGAUGGACAAGAAGUUGGGAAGCACUAGAUUCUAAAGUUACUGGUUCAAUUGUACUGUAUUAUGUCUGGGUCAAGGCAGGCAUCACAGAUGGGCGUGGUCUGUGUGAGUUUACACCAACUGGUUGGUGCUUCUCAAGCUCCAGGCUGGAGUGGGAUCCCUCUGAUUCUGAGAACCAGCACUGUUCAACCAGAAACAUCUCCAGAGUGCAGUAGGCAGUUCAUCCAGGUACUCUAGGAUGAUUAAAUAUCCCUUAGGAGCAAAGGAUAUCCCAUGGAGCUUUUCCCUGCUUGUGUCCACAUUAAGAAUAUCUGCUUUGUGUUUCAGCAUCCUGAGUGGUAUGAUCCUCAGGAGUUCUCUGAGAAAAGAUGGGCACCAGUGAUCCUACCUGAUCUCCUCAUUGUCAUUCAGGCCCUUAUUUAAAGGAUGUGGUUCUCCAUACCUUGCUUAUCUGUGAGGAACUGAUGAAAUUAAGUUCUCAAACCAGCAAACCUAAGGGUCAACCUCUGGGUCAUGGUGACUCGGUACAGAAACCCUGGGCAAGUUCUCUCAGCAUCAUCAUUCAACAAAUACAUUAAGGAAACAUCUCAAACAGAAGGAACUGGCCACUAGAGAAACAAUAUGUUGUCACCUAAGAAUUCUGGGGCUGUGCUCUCUAAGACCCGGCAGGAUGGGAAGGAGUUUGAGAAGCCUCAAUGACAGACAUCUGAUCAAUGAGCCUUCGGCUGGUCCCCUGGGAGGAUAUCUGAGUCCUGUAGCACAAAUAGGUAGCAUGGUCUGUAAUCUCUGGUCAUAGGGACAGACUAGGGGAGACACCAGAACCAUAUUCAUCUUCCCAUUCUGCCUUUCACUUUUUUGUGGGGGAAGAAACGCUAGGUGUUUCCCCUGUGUGGUUGUGAGCUUUGACCCAAACCCUUGGUCUUCUUGAUCCCAGGGCUGCCCCAGGACUAGAUCUCAGGUGGAUUUCAAACUGGUUUUGCAUACCCACUGGGCUAUAAAAAAUGGUCCUCUUGAUUUUCUUUCCAAGGAGAGAGGCAAGAGGUAGUAGUGGUAUGAAACCUUCGCACCUGUGCCAGAGGAUUCCUGUUCUUACAUGGGCGUGCGUGCGUGCGUGCACACACACACACCAGAAGGUGCACUAAUUUCCCCCUGGGUGACACCAUGGAAGAUUCUCUGGCAAAGCAAGUCUGGGCAGGUCUGAUGGCAGUUUCACCUGGGCUACUGGCUUAGGAACCAGAGAAGAAGAAAAGGGAGAGAGCCAGACUGGACAACUGAAAUUCAGCCCAAGUUCCUGCCUGUCUCCAAGGAAGGUUUUGUGCUGUUCUCUGGAACUGUUCUAGCCAGCUUGAGGGAGAGAGGUAUCAUCUCUGUUUGUAGUUAGCCAGAGUCCACUCCCUAGUGCUUUGGGGCAGCCAACUGAACUCUGGCGUCUCCUUCUCGUUGUGCUUUAACACGAUGCCAGUAGGCUCCACCCGAGCUGGGAGAUGGCGUAGCCCCUGCCAAGGCCUUUGUCUUUUUUGACCACAAGCCCCAGCAUAUCUAGAAGCGUCCAGCUCUCUAGAUUCCACCAAACCCCCAGGCCUCUCUGGCCCAUUGUCAGAGGGUUGUGCCACUGCUUUGACAUAGACUUAAUCACAAGCUGUUGCUCUUAUCUCUGCCUCUGUGCUCUGCCUUUUAAGGACAAGGACCAAGACCUCUUCAUUUCUCCAAACUCCGUGCCACCUACAGCAGUGCUAGUUAGAAGGUAGGGUCUCAGGAAACAUUUGGUAGACGAACAAGUAAAGGCAUGAAUAAAUGAAUUUAUGAAGAUGCCAAAUGAAUAAAUGCAUUUAUGAACUAUGAAAGCCCUGUUACCACUGACCACUUGAGUCAGGGGGCCAAGCCAGAGCAUCUAAUCCUAGAGUAGAGGGUGGGAGAUGGGGUGGAAGGCCCUUACCAGCUGCCCCAGAAGCGUUCCCCCAGCCUCAUGGAGCAACUCAGUCUCUCUGUCAGCAGAGACAUCUUAUUAUCAUCCCUGCAAGUCCCAGUCUUGAAUGGAAUUGGGUGAAUUGGGUGUAUAAUAAGAGUAAUAAUAAUAGGUCAGAAAAAUUUGUAUGAAGGAUAAUAUGUAUAACCAUUUUCCCUCUGGGGGCUUCUGAGGUUAAAAAAGGGUUUUGUUUUCUUUGAGCUAAGCAGGUAUACUAAUCAAGGCAAAACUAGCUUCUGUAAUAAGCAGACCUUCCAGUUCUCCAUAGCAUCACUAUGAUCGUUUCAUUUCUUGUUAACGUCAAUCCUAUCAGGGAUUCCAUAGGUAGCCUCACAUGUGAUGAUUCAUGGACCCAUGUUCCUUCCUUGAAGCUUAGUUAGCUAUAUCCUCUUGGGUCUUGGCGUCCGUCCUGCCUUUAGCUGGCAGAGAAGGAAAGAGAAGGUGGAGGAGAAGUACCCCCUUCUCAAUCACUUAAGCCUGGAAGUGACCUUUCUGCCCACCUCCCAGGGAUGAGGACCAGUCUACCCUAGUCCACAUAGAUGCUAGGCAGGUGAGAAAUGUAGCUCCGGUUGGGAAUCCCUCUUUCAGACCCCCUCAUCAUGAGAGGGGACGCAGGUCUCAGAAAAACAGUCCCUGACGUGGCGAAGUAAUGACUGGCAGUAAUGGAGUGAAGAAGCCAAGGGAAUGGGCUAGAAAGGACACAGACCUAUCCACUGGGAAGGACACAGAAGCUCAGAGAAGGGAGAGGGGGAGGAGGAGAGAGAAUAGAUUGGAGCUGAGGCUGUGGGGUGUGAGACUUUGGAGAUGUUAAGAAAUCUUGCAGAGUAUUGUUGGUGUGAUGGCUCCCAUGUCAGGCUUUGCCAAGCCUCCAGUAGCUGGCAAGAGGACAGAGGCCGAGCUCAGGUUACUGAGUUACAUGGGUUAAAAGCCAGGAGCUGUUCUGAAAUUAAAUAGUGAUGAUGGUUGCAGAGCAUUGUGCAUAUACUAAAAAUUACUGAACUGCACACUCACAGGGGUGAAUUGUAUGACAAUAUGAAUAUAGCUCAACAAAGAAAUUAUAUGAGGGAGAAACAGGAACCACCACCUUUUGAGCACUACUUUGGGCCACCAUUUCACAUACCUUGAUCAACCCUAAUUCUUACUUUAACCUGAAAGAUAGGUAGGUACUGAUGUCUCUAUUUUACAGAUAAAAAACAGACUCACUGAAGUGAAAGGGCCCAACAUCACACAGGUGGUGAAGUCAGAAUUCACACCCCAAGGUCUGCCCAGCUCCAGAGCUGGCGUUCUCCCCACGACGCUGCCUGCUUUCGGUGACAGUCGCUGCCAUUUACUGAGUGCCACGUACUGAGAUGUGAAAAAAGAAGCAUAUAGCCUAGUGGCUGCUAGCGGACAACUUGCAACCAGCCUGUGGUCAAAACAGACACAUGGAAGAGAGCAGAGCCAAAGGUAUUAUAGACAAAUGGAGUCGGAGCCCUGAUCAAAUGGAUCCUGAAAGCAUAAUGCCUUGGGAGUUGUCAGUUAUGUGAACCAAAGCAUUUCCCUUUAUUGUUUAAGCCAGUUUGGGUUAAUUUAAAUGACUAAUGAUGUUGUUUUGCAAAAAUUAAAUUGUCACUGGCAACACAAA
Molecule: long non-coding RNA, 4422 nt
Organism: Felis catus (domestic cat)
Lineage: Eukaryota; Metazoa; Chordata; Mammalia; Carnivora; Felidae
Exons: 2
Source: RefSeq, a predicted model, not a curated record